Capsicum annuum is the source of this 1497-nucleotide non-coding RNA. Lineage: Eukaryota; Viridiplantae; Streptophyta; Magnoliopsida; Solanales; Solanaceae. The record is from Rfam.
CUCAUGGAGAGUUCGAUCCUGGCUCAGGAUGAACGCUGACGGCAUGCUUAACACAUGCAAGUUGGAUAGGAAACACGGGAAAUGGUGUUUCUAGUGGUGGAUGGUUGAUUAACGCGUAAGAACCUACCCUUGGGAGGGGAAAAAUAGCUGGAAACGGCUGCUAAUACCCCAUAGGAUGAGGAGCAAAAGGAGGAAUCCGCCCGAGGAGGGGGUCGCGUCUGAUUAGCUAGUUGUUGAGGCAAUAGCUUACCAAGGUGAUGAUCAGUAGCUGGUCCGAGAGGAUGAUCAGCCAUAUUGGGACUGAGACAUGGCCCAAACUCCUAUGCGAGACAGCAGUGGGAAAUUUUCCACAAUGGGCGAAAGCCUAACGGAGCAAUGUCGCGUGGAGGUAGAAGGCCCACGAGUUGUGAACUUCUUUUCUUAGAGAAGAAGUAAUGACGGUAUCUGGGGAAUAAACAUCAUCUAACUCUGUGCCAACAGUCGCGGUAAUACAGAGGAUGCAAGCAUUAUCCAGAAUGAUUGGGCGUAAAGCAUCUGUAGGUGGCUUUUUAAGUCCGUCGUCAAAUCCUAGGGCUCAACCCUGGAUAGGCGGUGAAAACUACCAAGAUGGAGUACAGUAGGGGUAGAGGGAAUUUUUGGUAGAGCGGUGAAAUGUGUAGAGAUCAGAAAGAACACCAACGGCGAAAGCACUCUGCUGGGGCGACACUAACACUGAGAGACGAAAGCUAGGGGAGCGAAUGGGAUUAGAUACCCCAGUAGUCCUAGUCGUAAAUGAUGGAUACUAGGCACUAUGCGUAUCGACCCAUUAAGUGCUGUAGCUAACGCAUUAAGUAUCCCGCCUGGGGAGUACGUUAUCAAGAAUGAAACUCAAAGGAAUUAAUGGGGGCCCGUACAAGCGGUGGAGCAUGUAGUUUCAUUUGAUGUAAAACGAAGAACCUUACCAGGGCUUGACAUACCGCGAAUCAUCUUAAAAGAGAGGGGUGCCUUCGAGAACACGAACACAGGUGGUGCAUGGCUGUCGUCAUCUCGUGCCAUAAAUUGUUGGGUUUAGUCCUGCAACAAGCACAAUCCUCGUGUUUAGUUGCCAUCAUUGAGUUUGGAACCCUCAACAGACUACCGGUGAUAAGCUGGAGGAAGGUGAGGAUAACGUUAAGUCAUUAUGCCCCUUAUGCCCUGGUCGACACAUGUGCCACAAUGUUCAGGACAAAGGGUCACGAUCCCGCGAGGGUGAGCUAACCGCAAAAACCCAUCCUUAGUUCGAUUGCAGGCUGCAACUCGUCUACAUGAAUCCAGAAUUGCUAGUAAUCAUCGGUCAGCCAUACGGCGGUGAGUUCAUUCCUGGGCCUUGUACACACUGGCCGUCACACUAUGGGAGCUGGCCAUGCCCGAAGUCGUACCUUAACCGUAAGAAGAGGGAUACCGAAGGCAGGGCUAGUGACUGGAGUGAAGUCGUAACAAGGUAGCCGUACUGGAAGGUGCGGCUAGAUCACCUCCUUU